This 1343-nucleotide ribosomal RNA is filed under the name uncultured bacterium. Its description in RNAcentral is "16S ribosomal RNA". It matches the Rfam family "Bacterial small subunit ribosomal RNA", at positions 28 to 1378 of the family's 1533-position model. The record is from RNAcentral.
GACGAACGCUGGCGGCGUGCUUAACACAUGCAAGUCGAACGGAAAGGCCCUGCUUUUGUGGGGUGCUCGAGUGGCGAACGGGUGAGUAACACGUGAGUAACCUGCCCUUGACUUUGGGAUAACUUCAGGAAACUGGGGCUAAUACCGGAUAGGAGCUCCUGCUGCAUGGUGGGGGUUGGAAAGUUUCGGCGGUUGGGGAUGGACUCGCGGCUUAUCAGCUUGUUGGUGGGGUAGUGGCUUACCAAGGCUUUGACGGGUAGCCGGCCUGAGAGGGUGACCGGCCACAUUGGGACUGAGAUACGGCCCAGACUCCUACGGGAGGCAGCAGUGGGGAAUAUUGCACAAUGGGCGGAAGCCUGAUGCAGCAACGCCGCGUGCGGGAUGACGGCCUUCGGGUUGUAAACCGCUUUCGCCUGUGACGAAGCGUGAGUGACGGUAAUGGGUAAAGAAGCACCGGCUAACUACGUGCCAGCAGCCGCGGUGAUACGUAGGGUGCGAGCGUUGUCCGGAUUUAUUGGGCGUAAAGGGCUCGUAGGUGGUUGAUCGCGUCGGAAGUGUAAUCUUGGGGCUUAACCCUGAGCGUGCUUUCGAUACGGGUUGACUUGAGGAAGGUAGGGGAGAAUGGAAUUCCUGGUGGAGCGGUGGAAUGCGCAGAUAUCAGGAGGAACACCAGUGGCGAAGGCGGUUCUCUGGGCCUUUCCUGACGCUGAGGAGCGAAAGCGUGGGGAGCGAACAGGCUUAGAUACCCUGGUAGUCCACGCUGUAAACGGUGGGUACUAGGUGUGGGGUCCAUUCCACGGGUUCCGUGCCGUAGCUAACGCUUUAAGUACCCCGCCUGGGGAGUACGGCCGCAAGGCUAAAACUCAAAGGAAUUGACGGGGCCCCGCACAAGCGGCGGAGCAUGCGGAUUAAUUCGAUGCAACGCGUAGAACCUUACCUGGGUUUGACAUGGAUCGGGAGUGCUCAGAGAUGGGUGUGCCUCUUUUGGGGUCGGUUCACAGGUGGUGCAUGGCUGUCGUCAGCUCGUGUCGUGAGAUGUUGGGUUAAGUCCCGCAACGAGCGCAACCCUUGUUCACUGUUGCCAGCACGUUAUGGUGGGGACUCAGUGGAGACCGCCGGGGUCAACUCGGGGGAAGGUGGGGAUGACGUCAAGUCAUCAUGCCCCUUAUGUCCAGGGCUUCACGCAUGCUACAAUGGCUGGUACAGAGAGUGGCGAGCCUGUGAGGGUGAGCGAAUCUCGGAAAGCCGGUCUCAGUUCGGAUUGGGGUCUGCAACUCGACCUCAUGAAGUCGGAGUCCCUAGUAAUCGCAGAUCAGCAACGCUGCGGUGAAUACGUUCCCGGG